GAUGAACGCUGGCGGCGUGCCUAAUACAUGCAAGUCGAGCGAAUGGAUUAAGAGCUUGCUCUUAUGAAGUUAGCGGCGGACGGGUGAGUAACACGUGGGUAACCUGCCCAUAAGACUGGGAUAACUCCGGGAAACCGGGGCUAAUACCGGAUAACAUUUUGAACCGCAUGGUUCGAAAUUGAAAGGCGGCUUCGGCUGUCACUUAUGGAUGGACCCGCGUCGCAUUAGCUAGUUGGUGAGGUAACGGCUCACCAAGGCAACGAUGCGUAGCCGACCUGAGAGGGUGGUCGGCCACACUGGGACUGAGACACGGCCCAAACUCCGACGGGAGUCAGCAGUAGGGAAUCUUCCGCAAUGGACGAAAGUCUGACGGAGCAACGCCGCGUGAGUGAUGAAGGCUUUCGGGUCGUAAAACUCUGUUGUUAGGGAAGAACAAGUGCUAGUUGAAUAAGCUGGCACCUUGACGGUACCUAACCAGAAAGCCACGGCUAACUACGUGCCAGCCGCCGCGGUAA
Molecule: ribosomal RNA, 515 nt
Filed under: uncultured bacterium
Lineage: Bacteria
Description: partial 16S ribosomal RNA
Rfam family: Bacterial small subunit ribosomal RNA
Source: RNAcentral